CCUGUGCUCACAUGAAGGCUGUGCUGCUUUGGUCUCAUCUCUGAAAUCUAGCGACUCUAAACUGACGAAGCUGGACCUCAGUAGAAACAACCUGCAGCAUAAAGGAAUGAAGCUGCUGACUGAGUUUGUGAAAAGUUCAAGCUGUAAACUGAAGACUCUGAGAGUGGACUAUGGACGAAACUUGAUUUCAAGUGCCAUCGGUGAAGCAGGAACAACAGAGCCCAAGCUGCAUGAGCAGAGGAAG
Long non-coding RNA from Acanthochromis polyacanthus (spiny chromis), 244 nucleotides. RefSeq lists it as uncharacterized. The transcript is spliced from 3 exons. The record is from RefSeq and is a predicted model, not a curated record. Lineage: Eukaryota; Metazoa; Chordata; Actinopteri; Pomacentridae.